AUUGAACGCUGGCGGCAGGCUUAACACAUGCAAGUCGAGCGGAGUGCUGGUGCUUGCACUAUCACUUAGCGGCGGACGGGUGAGUAAUGCUUAGGAAUCUGCCUAUUAGUGGGGGACAACAUCUCGAAAGGGCUGCUAAUACCGCAUACGUCCUACGGAAGAAAGCAGGGGAUCACUUGUGACCUUGCGCUAAUAGAUGAGCCUAAGUCGGAUUAGCUAGUUGGUGGGGUAAAGGCCUACCAAGGCGACGAUCUGUAGCGGGUCUGAGAGGAUGAUCCGCCACACUGGGACUGAGACACGGCCCAGACUCCUACGGGAGGCAGCAGUGGGGAAUAUUGGACAAUGGGGGGAACCCUGAUCCAGCCAUGCCGCGUGUGUGAAGAAGGCCUUAUGGUUGUAAAGCACUUUAAGCGAGGAGGAGGCUCUUUUGGUUAAUACCCAAGAUGAGUGGACGUUACUCGCAGAACAAGCACCGGCUAACUCUGUGCCAGCCGCCGCCGUAA
Molecule: ribosomal RNA, 503 nt
Filed under: uncultured bacterium
Lineage: Bacteria
Description: partial 16S ribosomal RNA
Rfam family: Bacterial small subunit ribosomal RNA
Source: RNAcentral